RNAcentral lists this ribosomal RNA (877 nucleotides) under uncultured Cytophaga sp. RNAcentral describes it as "bacterial SSU rRNA". It matches the Rfam family "Bacterial small subunit ribosomal RNA", at positions 612 to 1501 of the family's 1533-position model. The record is from RNAcentral. Lineage: Bacteria; Pseudomonadati; Bacteroidota; Cytophagia; Cytophagales; Cytophagaceae.
ACUGUGGAACUGCCUUUGAUACUGUCAGUCUAGAGUAUAGUUGAAGUGGGCGGAAUGUGUCAUGUAGCGGUGAAAUGCUUAGAUAUGACACAGAACACCGAUCGCGAAGGCAGCUCGCUAAGCUAUAACUGACGCUCAUGCACGAAAGCGUGGGGAUCAAACAGGAUUAGAUACCCUGGUAGUCCACGCUGUAAACGAUGAUUACUCGUUGUUGGCGAUACACAGUCAGCGACCAAGCGAAAGUGAUAAGUAAUCCACCUGGGGAGUACGAUCGCAAGGUUGAAACUCAAAGGAAUUGACGGGGGCCCGCACAAGCGGUGGAGCAUGUGGUUUAAUUCGAUGAUACGCGAGGAACCUUACCUGGGCUCAAAUGUAUGUUGACGUAUUCUGAAAGGGAUACUUCUUCGGACAAUAUACAAGGUGCUGCAUGGUUGUCGUCAGCUCGUGCCGUGAGGUGUCGGGUUAAGUCCCAUAACGAGCGCAACCCCUAUCAUUAGUUGCCAUCAGGUAAAAAUGGGGACUCUAAAGGAACUGCCUACGCAAGUAGUGAGGAAGGCGGGGAUGACGUCAAAUCAGCACGGCCCUUACGUCCAGGGCUACACACGUGCUACAAUGGCCGAUACAGAGGGCAGCUACCAGGUGACUGGAUGCAAAUCUCCAAAGUCGGUCUCAGUUCGGAUCGGAGUCUGCAACCCGACUCCGUGAAGUUGGAUUCGCUAGUAAUCGCGCAUCAGCCAUGGCGCGGUGAAUACGUUCCCGGGCCUUGUACACACCGCCCGUCAAGCCAUGGAAGCUGGGGGGACCUCCUUUAAAGAAGCCGUAAGGAGUCGCCUAANNUAAAAGCCCCUCACGGUGAGGUAAGUCUAACAAGGUAACC